This 459-nucleotide ribosomal RNA is filed under the name uncultured bacterium. RNAcentral describes it as "partial 16S ribosomal RNA". It matches the Rfam family "Bacterial small subunit ribosomal RNA", at positions 338 to 795 of the family's 1533-position model. The record is from RNAcentral.
CCUACGGGAGGCAGCAGUGAGGAAUAUUGGUCAAUGGACGGAAGUCUGAACCAGCCAUGCCGCGUGCAGGAAGACGGCUCUAUGAGUUGUAAACUGCUUUUGUACAAGGGUAAACCUGAAUACGUGUAUUCCGCUGAAAGUACUGUACGAAUACGGAUCGGCUAACUCCGUGCCUGCAGCCGCGGUAAUACGGAGGAUCCAAGCGUUAUCCGGAUUUAUUGGGUUAAAGGGGUGCGUCGGCGGUUUGAUAAGUGAGAGGUAAACUGUCCGAGCUUAACUCGGGAACUGACUCUAAUACUGUUGAUCAAGGGAGUAGAUGCGGUAGGCGGAAUGUAUGGUGUAGCGGGGAAAUGCUUAGAGAUCAUACAGAACACCGAUUGCGAGGGCAGCUUACCAAUCUAUAUCUGACGUUGAGGCACGAAAGCGUGGGAGCGAACAGGAUUAGAUACCCCAGUAGUC